This 316-nucleotide ribosomal RNA is filed under the name Rhizophagus intraradices. Lineage: Eukaryota; Fungi; Glomeromycota; Glomeromycetes; Glomerales; Glomeraceae. The record is from RNAcentral.
CAGUCGUACCGGCGGAUAAUCAGCCUUUCGGGUGCGAUUCUGUGGGGCGUGAGGAGUUUAACCGCCUUCAUGUUUUACGUAUUCGUGCUCUUGGGUGUACUUGCCCGUGUGGUAGGUUAACGUCAAUUUUGGUCGUCAUAAAAUGAUUGGAGGAAUGUAGCUUUGGUCUCGUAUCGAAGUGUUAUAGACUCUGGUAGAUGUGACGAUUGGGAUUGAGGAUUGCAACGGAUACCCUUCGGGGCUACCUGUCUGAUCUCUGAUCGUUGCUCUGGUGCCGAAAGCUUGCUUACGGUUAUCAAAGUCAAUGGUCAAUAGG